Molecule: ribosomal RNA, 469 nt
Filed under: uncultured bacterium
Lineage: Bacteria
Description: bacterial SSU rRNA
Rfam family: Bacterial small subunit ribosomal RNA
Source: RNAcentral
GACGAACGCUGGCGGCGUGCCUGACACAUGCAAGUCGGACGGUUCUUGCACCUUCAAGCUUGCUUGUUGGUUCAAGGAUAGUGGCGGACGGGUGAGUAACGCGUGAACACCUACCCAUUGGAGGGGUACAACCCGUCGAAAGGCGGGCUAAUACCGCGUAAGCCGCGAGGUGAAAGGCUGCCUUUUGGUGGCUGCCGAUGGAUGGGUUCGCGUCCUAUCAGCUUGUUGGUGGGGUAACGGCCUACCAAGGCGAAGACGGGUAGCCGGUCUGAGAGGAUGGCCGGCCACACUGGAACUGAGACACGGUCCAGACUCCUACGGGAGGCAGCAGUGGGGAAUCUUGGGCAAUGGGGGGGACCCUGACCCAGCGACGCCGCGUGAGGGACGAAGGUUUUCGGAUCGUAAACCUCUGUUGUACGGGAAGAAUUGCGUGACGGUACCGUACGAGUAAGCCCCGGCAAACUACGUG